This is a long non-coding RNA of Lycium ferocissimum, 738 nucleotides long. RefSeq lists it as uncharacterized. Lineage: Eukaryota; Viridiplantae; Streptophyta; Magnoliopsida; Solanales; Solanaceae. The record is from RefSeq and is a predicted model, not a curated record. The transcript is spliced from 4 exons.
UGGCAAGAUAAAAAGAAACCGGAUAAAUUCAAGCUGCAAAAAUCAAUUUUGAAGAGGUAGUUUUUUUUGAAGAACCAGUUUUGUUUCUCAAUUAACAUAAACCUAAUCGUAAUCCAAGCCCUAUGCUCUCUCACUUUCAUCCAGGUGAUACCAAGAAUAUUUUCAGAAGUUAAUAGAGUAUAUCUCUAUUAUUUUUGCAUAUGGAGCCCUUGUGUGAUCUUGAUAGGAUGUUCUCGAAGAAAUGCAGAGAGGAGGACGAACAGGGGCAUAUAUAUUUUUGUUGCAUUCCUCCCUUCUACUAAAAAAACAAAGAAAAGCUAUUCAUGAAAUGAAUGAAGAAUCUAAAGCUCCAUUUCAAGAUCAACAUCCAAGAUAGGGAUUUCAACAGCAAAAGAGCACUUGAGCAAUUAAAAAUAGUGAAUUCACACAAAAAGAUCUGCAAAGAUACCAAAUAAGUGGCUAAUUUGGGAAUGUAUAGGCCUAUAGUACCUGUUCUUACAUUUUGUAAAGAAUACCCCAUUUGAACUGUUGAAAUCUCUAUUUGAAGUGCUGAAAUUCUAUUUUAACUAUUAGGGCUCAUUUAAAUUAAUUGUUGUGCUAAAAGACAAUUGUAAGACUCGAUACUGUACUUGGGGUUAUUGUUAACGCAGAGGAUAAAGGUUAAUAGUUUAGUCAUUUUUUAUAAUGCUAUGGCCAUUUUCUCCUCCCAAGCCAAAUAAAUAUAAUUGUACUUCUUUA